CAUACCAAAACUUAUGAGACACAACAAAAGCAGUGCCAAGGGGGAAGUUUCUAGCUAUAAAUUCUUACAUUAAAAAAUAAGAGUCUGGUCUGAAGAAAGCAAAAUUAAAAAUUAUUUAAAAAAUAAGAAAAAUAUCAAAUCACCAACCGGACUUUCCAAUUUAAGGAACUGAAAAGGAAGAGCAAACUAAACCCAGAGCUAGCAGUAGAAAGGAAGUAGUAAAGAUUAGAAUAGAUAUAAAUGAAAUAGAGACUAGAAAAAUAAUAUAGAAAAAUCAAAAUGAAACCAAAAGUUGGUUAUUCAAAAAUCAAAAAACUUUGCAAAUCUCUAGCUAGAUCUACUUAUAACAAAGGAGACAAGUCAGAAAUGAAAAUGAAGACAUUACUACCAUUUCUACAGAAAUGAAAAGAGUUAUAGGGGAAUACUGUCAGCAAUUGUCUGCCAAGAAAUUGGAUAACCCAAGUGAAAUGGAGAAAUUCCUAGAAACACUAAACCUACCAGGCUAAACCAUGAAGAAAUAAAAAAUAUGAGUAGAUUUGUAACUACUAAAGAGAUUCAAUCAGUAAUCAAACAUCUCCUGUCAAAGAAAAGCCCUAAACCUGAUGGCUUCACUGAUUAAUUCUACCAAGCAUUUAAAGAAGAACUGUAUCAAUCAUUUCAGACUUCCCAAAAAUUGAAGAUGAGGGCAUACCCUUAACACGUUCUAUGAGGCCAGCAUUAACCUAAUACCAAAGCCAGUAAAGGUACUACAGGAAAACUACAGACCAGUAUCCCUUAUGAAGACUGAUGCAAAAAUCCUCAGAAAGGUACUUGCAAACAGAAUUCAGCAGUAUAGUUAAAGGAUUAUACAGUUUAAGUCAUCACUUAAUGUUGAUAGGUACUUGGAAACUGUGACUUUAAGCAAAUGAUACAUCAGGAAGCCAGUUUUGCCAUAGGCUUGCCAGGCACACUGCCUCACACCUGUAAUCCCAGCACUUUGGGAGGCUGAGAUGGGAGGUUCACUUGAGCUCAGGAGUUCAAGACCAGCCUGGGCAAUAGAGUGAGCCUCGUCUCUACCAAAAACAAAAAAAAAAGCCUGUAGUCCUAGCUACUUGGGAGGCUGAGGUGGAAGGAUCACUUGAAUCCGGGAGGUAGAGAUUACGGUGAGCUGAGGUUGAGCCAUUGUGCUCUAGCCUAGCCAACAGAGGAAGACUCUGUCUCAAAAAAAAAAAAAAAGGCUAAUUUAUAUAAACAAGAAUUAAGUUCCUACAGAUGUUUUAUAAACAUCAUCAAAGUUCUAAAGAAAGACCCAAAACAUCUCCAGUUUUAAACAUUGAAAUAAAUGCAAGCUACAUGUACAUUUAAAAAAAGAUUAAUAGAAACAAGUAAAAUAUUUACCUAAUCUCUGGCAAAUCUAUGAGUGACAAGUGGUUGUAGUAAUGGUGAGUUAAAUCAAAGAGUAAAUGCUUGCAAAGAGAAAAUUGUAAAGAGCACACAGUUCAUAAACAAUAACAGGUCAUGCCUAUAAUCCCAGUACUUUUGGGAGGCUGAGGCCAGAGGAUCCCUUAAGCCCAGGACAUUGAGACCAGCUUGGGCAACAUAGUAAGACAUCAUCUCUACAAAAAAAUUAAAAACACAAAUGAGCUGAGCACGAUGGUGCACACAUGUAGUCCCAGCUACUCAGGAGGCUGCGGUGGGAGAACCACUUGAGUCCCAGAGGUCAAGGCUGCAGUGAGCCAUUUUUGUGUCACUGCACUCCAACCGGGGUGCGAGUCUGUCUAAAAAAACAACAACAACAACAACAAAAUGGAGGAGGCAGAGCAAGACAGCUAAAUAGAAGCCUCCACCAAUUGUGGAGGUGUCUCCUGACAGGGACACCAAAUUUAACCACUAUCUAUAUUAAAAAGCACCUUCAUAAGAACCAAAAAUCAGGUGAGCACUCAUAGUACCUGGUUUUAACUUCAUAUGACUGAAAGAGACACUGAGGAGGGUAGGAAAGACAGUCUUAAAUUGCUAACACCUCCCCUUCCCCAGCCCCCAGCAGUGGCCACGUGGCACACAGAGAGACUCUACAGUUGAAGGAGGGAGAUCGCAGUGAUUGUGGGACUGUGUUGGAAUUUAGUGCUCCCAUGUUGCAGUUGAGAGCAACACUGGGCAGAACUCAGCCAGCAUCCUCAGAGGGAGCAUUUAGACCAGCCCUAGCCAGAGGGAAUUUGCCCAUCCCAGAGGUCAGAACAUGAGUUUCAGCAAGCUUUGCCACCAUGGGCUAACAUGCCCUACAGUCCUAAAUAAACCUGAAAGACGGUCUAGGCCACAAGGACUGCAUCUCCUAGAAAGUUCUUUUUUUUUUUUUUUUUUGGGUGUGAUUGUGCACACCUGUAAUCCCAGCUAUUCGGGAGGCUGAUACAGGAGAAUCGCUUAAACCCGGGAGACAGAGGUUGCAGUGAGCCGAGAUUGUGCCACUGCACUCCAGCCUGGGUGACAGAGUGAGGCUCUGUCUCAAAAAAAAAAAAAAAUCAAUCAAUAUUCAAGUACAAGGUGGUUAUAGAACACUAAGCCCAUUUAACCCAAAGAAGACUACCUCAAGGCAUUUAAUAAUCAAACUCCCAAAGGUCAAAAAUAAAAAAGGGAUCCUAAAAGCAGCAAGAGAAAAGAAACAACAUACAAUGGAGGCCAGGCAUGGUGGCUUACGCCUGUAAUUGAGCACUUUGGGAGGCUGAGACCAAGUGGAUCGCUUGAGGUCAGGAGUUCAGCCUGGCCAACGUGGCAAAACCCUGUCUCUACUAAAAAUACAAAAAUUAGCCGGGCAUGGUGGUGUGUGCCUGUAAUUCCAGCUACCCAGGAGGCUGAGGCAUGAGAAUCAUUUGAACAUGGGAGACAAAGGUUGCAGUGAGCCAAGAUCGUGCCACUCCACCACAGUCUGGGUGACAAAGUGAGACUCUGUCUCAAAGAAAAGCAAACAAAAAAACCACAUACAAUGGAACUCCAAUAGGUCUGGCAACAGACUUUUCAGUGGAAACCUUAUAGGCCAGGAGAGAAUGGCAUGACAUAUUUUAGGUGCUGAAGGAAAAAAACUUUUACCUUCAAAUAGUAUACCCAGCAAAAAUGUCCUUCAAACAUGAAGGAGAAAUACUUUCCCAGACAGACAAAAGCUGAGGGAUUUCAUCAACACCAGACCUGUCUUACAAGAAAUGCCAAAAGGAGUUCAAUCUGAAAGAAAACGAUGUUAAUGAGCAAUAAGAAAUCAUCUGAAGGUACAAAACUCACUGGUAACAGUAAAUAGAAAAAUACAGAAUAUUGUAACUGUAAUUGAGGUGUGUAAAUGACUCAUAUCUUAAGUAGAACAAUAAAAAUGAAUCGAUCAGGCUGCGUGCAGUGGCUCACGCCUGUAAUCCCAACACUUUAGGAGGUGGAGGUGGGUGGAUCACCUGAGGUCAGGAGUUCCAGACCAGCCUGGCCAACAUGGUGAAACCCG
RNAcentral lists this long non-coding RNA (3454 nucleotides) under Homo sapiens (human). RNAcentral's name for it is "HSALNT0078484". Lineage: Eukaryota; Metazoa; Chordata; Mammalia; Primates; Hominidae. The record is from RNAcentral.